This is a long non-coding RNA of Zingiber officinale, 1011 nucleotides long. RefSeq lists it as uncharacterized. The transcript has 8 exons. The record is from RefSeq and is a predicted model, not a curated record. NCBI's taxonomy places the organism in Eukaryota, Viridiplantae, Streptophyta, Magnoliopsida, Zingiberales, Zingiberaceae.
CAAAACCCUAUUUCCCAUUCAUCUCCGUUCUUCCAUCGCCUUCAAUACUAGCUCUAUUCAUCUCCGUUCACCCAGAAAACGCUCUGUUGGAGUAGGACAGAGCAGAUCGACGUAAAUCUGAGCGACGAUCCAAAAGAAACCGUAACAAACUUUCUUGUGGAGUGAGAUGUUACAGCUUGGCCGAAGAAAUGAGGAUAAGUCGAGCAUUAUUUGGCUUACUCAUGGAACUUCAGGAAGAAGGAAAAUAAAAAACAGGUCUUUUCGUGUUUGGCUUGGGAGGAAUUGGAAAGAUUUGUGACAAGUGAAAAGGAUAUGUCAUGGAUUCUGUGGUUGGUGCAUUAUUUACGCAGAAUGUGUUUGAUACUAGCUCAAGCUUUGCUUUUAUAUCACAUGCUGCCAAAUCUCCUUUGAAAGAAACUGAUACAAAAAGAAUCCAGCAUAAUAGAAAGAUGAUCUCACAUGGUGUAGAGCCAAAAUGAGAAUAAAUGAUGGAAUGAGUGGAGAUACAAUGGAAAAUGAACUUUUUCAACUCUAUCGGACCAUGGACAUCUUGACCUUGAGUGGCUAAGUUAUGUUGCCCCAGACAAAGCAAAGGAAUUCCUCCUCAGCAUUCAAGAACUAGGACAAAAGAGCGUUGAAUGUGUUGGGCUUUUAUCUCUUAAUCAGUUGGCAUUUCCAGUGGACUUCUUGAUGUAGCUUGGAUUGGUUCCAAUUUGUGUAUGAGGGCAUUCAAUUGCAUAAUUUAUAGUAAGACAACUGAACCAACAGAAAGAUGCUGCAAAAUUAAAGGAAACUGCAAACCAUGCGGUUCUAAUCAUCAAGAGCAGGGUCUAUUUGUCAAUGGCACUUUUUAUGCAUUACUUGCAAUUUUCAUCUACUUUCAAUAAGUCGUUAUUGAAGAAUUGUUUGCAUUAUUAUCUGCCAUCAAUAUAAAACUGAGUGGUCAGUGUUCAGUUCCUAUUAUCUUGGGUUAAUAUACAAUCUAAAUCGUAUGUAGAUCUAGCAUUGACA